This is a small nucleolar RNA of Vitis vinifera (wine grape), 161 nucleotides long. It matches the Rfam family "Small nucleolar RNA snoR145". The record is from Rfam. Lineage: Eukaryota; Viridiplantae; Streptophyta; Magnoliopsida; Vitales; Vitaceae.
GGGCGAAGGUCCCAGCAGAGAGGUGCGGUCUCAGAGAUGAGAAUGGAAGUGCCUUUCUAACACUUAGAUAAUUGCCUUCGCAGAUUAAUGAUAGGCCGAAUGAAGGAUGCUCCAUAAUUUUGUCUCAUUUUGGAGCGUCUGGAACCCUCGGCUACAAUUUC